CAAGUCGAACGGGAAUCUUCGGAUUCUAGUGGCGGACGGGUGAGUAACGCGUAAGAAUCUAACUUCAGGACGGGGACAACAGUUGGAAACGACUGCUAAUACCCGAUGUGCCGCAAGGUGAAAACUAAUUGGCCUGAAGAAGAGCUUGCGUCUGAUUAGCUAGUUGGUGGGGUAAAGGCCUACCAAGGCGACGAUCAGUAGCUGGUCUGAGAGGAUGAGCAGCCACACUGGGACUGAGACACGGCCCAGACUCCUACGGGAGGCAGCAGUGGGGAAUUUUCCGCAAUGGGCGAAAGCCUGACGGAGCAACGCCGCGUGAGGGAGGAAGGUCUUUGGAUUGUAAACCUCUUUUCUCAAGGAAGAAGUUCUGACGGUACUUGAGGAAUCAGCCUCGGCUAACUCCGUGCCAGCAGCCGCGGUAAUACGGGGGAGGCAAGCGUUAUCCGGAAUUAUUGGGCGUAAAGCGUCCGCAGGUGGUCAGCCAAGUCUGCUGUCAAAUCAGGUUGCUUAACGACCUAAAGGCGGUGGAAACUGGCAGACUAGAGAGCAGUAGGGGUAGCAGGAAUUCCCAGUGUAGCGGUGAAAUGCGUAGAGAUUGGGAAGAACAUCGGUGGCGAAAGCGUGCUACUGGGCUGUAUCUGACACUCAGGGACGAAAGCUAGGGGAGCGAAAGGGAUUAGAUACCCCUGUAGUCCUAGCCGUAAACGAUGGAUACUAGGCGUGGCUUGUAUCGACCCGAGCCGUGCCGAAGCUAACGCGUUAAGUAUCCCGCCUGGGGAGUACGCACGCAAGUGUGAAACUCAAAGGAAUUGACGG
RNAcentral lists this ribosomal RNA (816 nucleotides) under uncultured bacterium. RNAcentral describes it as "bacterial SSU rRNA". It matches the Rfam family "Bacterial small subunit ribosomal RNA", at positions 58 to 916 of the family's 1533-position model. The record is from RNAcentral.